GCCUACGGGAGGCAGCAGUGAGGAAUAUUGGUCGAUGGGCGAGAGCCUGAACCAGCCAAGUCGCGUGAGGGAAGACGGUCCUAUGGAUUGUAAACCUCUUUUGUCGGGGAGCAAAAAGGCCCCGUGAGGCCACAAGCGAGAGUACCCGAAGAAAAAGCAUCGGCUAACUCCGUGCCAGCAGCCGCGGUAAUACGGAGGAUCCAAGCGUUAUCCGGAUUUAUUGGGUUUAAAGGGUGCGUAGGCGGUUUUAUAAGUUAGAGGUGAAAAUUCGGGGCUCAACUCCGGACGUGCCUCUAAUACUGUAU
Molecule: ribosomal RNA, 305 nt
Filed under: uncultured bacterium
Lineage: Bacteria
Description: bacterial SSU rRNA
Rfam family: Bacterial small subunit ribosomal RNA
Source: RNAcentral